AAGACAUUGUCCUUGGUCUUGGUUUCGAUGCGGACAUCGAGAGAGCUGAUUCUGGUGGAAAGGAUGCCGGCCAGACACUGACCGGCCAAGGGGUUAAAGAAAUGGAGUCCGGGCUCAGCCAAUUUCUCGAAGCGGCCCCACCUUUCGACGAUGCCUAUGUUGGCCUGGUCUACGCAUCCACAUAACAAACACCAGGAGUUGCCCAUUUCGAUUGAUCAGAAUUUCUCUCUCUCCAAUUCCCUGCGCUGCGAAGAAAGAUUCAAGUAGAAGCGAAUUGAAGGGACUGAAGCGACGCCGAUAUUCGCA
Molecule: unclassified non-coding RNA, 306 nt
Filed under: Hevea brasiliensis (rubber tree)
Lineage: Eukaryota; Viridiplantae; Streptophyta; Magnoliopsida; Malpighiales; Euphorbiaceae
Source: RNAcentral